This 254-nucleotide ribosomal RNA is filed under the name uncultured bacterium. RNAcentral describes it as "partial 16S ribosomal RNA". It matches the Rfam family "Bacterial small subunit ribosomal RNA", at positions 524 to 776 of the family's 1533-position model. The record is from RNAcentral.
UACGUAGGGUGCGAGCGUUGUCCGGAUUUAUUGGGCGUAAAGAGCUCGUAGGCGGCUCGGUAAGUCGAGGGUGAAAUUUCGAGGCUUAACCUCGGAACGCCACCCGAUACUGCUGUGGCUAGAGUCCGGUAGGGGAGCGUGGAAUUCCUGGUGUAGCGGUGAAAUGCGCAGAUAUCAGGAGGAACACCAGCGGCGAAGGCGGCGCUCUGGGCCGGUACUGACGCUGAGGAGCGAAAGCGUGGGGAUCAAACAGG